UCCUGGUUUCUUGUUUGAGAUUUCCUGGCUUCUGACCUGAUGCAUGUAUUUGACUUCAGCUUGGCUCAUCCUUGUUAGGUUGAUUCCCUGGAUCCUGACUUCCUGCCUGUUUGACUCUGCCUGGCUUAGCUCACCACUGUUGGAGGGAUUACCUGGCUUUCAACCUCUGGCUUGUAUUUGACUCUGGACUAGCUCGGCCCCAGGCAGGUGCUCCUUGCUUCUGACUUGCCUGGUGGACUGACUUGCCUGGUGGACACACCUGCCCUGGCCAGACAUGACAAGCGAGAGUUCCAAGAUUGCUCCCAUUGCAUGCACCCCUGAAAUUUUUUGGCACGUUUACACUGCCCUGCCCUCGUGUGCUGAACCUGUGCCUGCCUCAGACUCCUUCUCGGACCUAGUAACAGAAGGAGUUCAGGCUGCAUCAUGAACCUGGAUCCAGGAACACCCCUCCCCCUCCCCAACUGGGGGAUGAGGCAGAUACUUCAGGGGAUGAGACAAAGUGGAAAGACCCUAAGGUCCAGACCUCAGGCAACCCUGUGCUUCUGGAACUCUCCACACCCAAACAAGGGAUACUUGAGCCACCACCUCCACCCGAAGGCAGAUCCUUGCCUUCAUCCUCUGGCUUGGAGGCAGAAAAAUAGAAAUACAGUUCAAAAGUUAUAUUAAGGAUAUAUGGGAUACAGAAUGCAAAAGUUCAAUUAGGCAAGGCAAUAAAUCUUGGUUGAUGUUCUGGGCAAGAGUAAAGCUGGCAAUAAUUUAGUGUGAAGUCCUAAGUGGUUGAACAUUUGGAAAUGCAAACCAGUUACUUCCUCCUCGGCCCAAAUUAAGGAGAACUUUCUCAGAGUUUUUCAUCGAUGAUACCUGACCCCAGUAAAAUUAGCAUACAUUCAUAAAGACUAUUCCCCACUUUGGUGGAAUGGUUGUGGGAUGAAGAGAACCUAUUUUCAUCUUUGGUGGACCUGCCCCAGGGUCUUACACUUUUGGUCAGAGGUAUUCAUGGAGAUGAGUAAGAUCACAAAUCAGAAAAUAGGAUUAUGCCCCCUGCUGGCAUUAGUAAAUAUAUUUUCUGGGGUCAAUACAGAUGUGUCAUUAAAAAAAAAAGUGGUAUUUAUGGUAACUGCUGCCAGGUUAGCUAUAGCCAAGCACUGAAAAAACCAUGUUGAUGGAUAUCUGGCAUAAGCCUCUAUGGAAUAUCAUAAUCUCAGAAAAGUUAACCCAUAUUAUUCGGUUCCGUGCAAACCAGACCACAAAUAACUCUUUUUAUUCUUUAUACCAAUUGGAAGAAUUAUGGUUGUCUUCUUACCCCAGAUGAUAUUAGAAUGUGGAUGGAUUGAUGAAUCUGGUUUUGUCGUAUGAUAUUUUGCUGUUUGUGUUUGGAUUAAUUUUGUUCUGCACUGUAAAUUUUAUUCUAAUAAAGUUGGCGGAGGGAGUCCUAA
This is a long non-coding RNA of Hemicordylus capensis (graceful crag lizard), 1436 nucleotides long. RefSeq lists it as uncharacterized. Lineage: Eukaryota; Metazoa; Chordata; Lepidosauria; Squamata; Cordylidae. The transcript is spliced from 2 exons. The record is from RefSeq and is a predicted model, not a curated record.